AGACACGGCCUUUGGUUCCGACAACAAGGUGGAACCAGGGGCCCCUCCUCAUCCCACCCAACCUUCUGCCCUGGGCCACUAAGGCUGUCAGAAUAACUGGCUCGUCUCCAGUUAGGAAGAAUUUCCAUGACCACUAAUGGGUAGUUAGGGACAGCAUCCCAGUUUAAAUAAAGGCUUUCAUGGACCUGGAAAGCUGCAGAUACUUAGCAGUACUCUGCGCGAGGCUGUGGAUUGGAUUGCGGCUUCAAGCAGAGCCUGGCGGAGGGGAGCUGCCACAGAGACACCACCAGAGGGGGAAUGUGAAUCUUUUACCCAUCUAUUUAGGACUCCCGAAGACAGAGACGAGCCUUCUGUUCCCAGUGAUCACCGGCCCCCAGAUGAAGCCAGCCUCAGGAUAAUAAACCAGCCUUGCACCAGGGUGGCGUGAUGACGGCCGAGGGCCACAUGGUGCCCCCAGAGUAAAGCAGCGUUCAGAUGAAAACGGAGAGACACCUACCUCCCAGCCCGGCACCCCACCAAGUCUGUGUAGAUGGUCUGGAUCCGUAAUUAGAAACACGGUGCAUUAAAUA
This is a long non-coding RNA of Lutra lutra (Eurasian river otter), 569 nucleotides long. RefSeq lists it as uncharacterized. The transcript has 4 exons. NCBI's taxonomy places the organism in Eukaryota, Metazoa, Chordata, Mammalia, Carnivora, Mustelidae. The record is from RefSeq and is a predicted model, not a curated record.